This 429-nucleotide ribosomal RNA is filed under the name Actinomycetes bacterium. RNAcentral describes it as "Actinobacteria bacterium partial 16S ribosomal RNA". It matches the Rfam family "Bacterial small subunit ribosomal RNA", at positions 355 to 776 of the family's 1533-position model. The record is from RNAcentral. Lineage: Bacteria; Bacillati; Actinomycetota; Actinomycetes.
UAGGGAAUCUUCCGCAAUGGGCGAAAGCCUGACGGAGCAACGCCGCGUGAGUGAUGAAGGUCUUCGGAUCGUAAAACUCUGUUAUUAGGGAAGAACAAAUGUGUAAGUAACUAUGCACGUCUUGACGGUACCUAAUCAGAAAGCCACGGCUAACUACGUGCCAGCAGCCGCGGUAAUACGUAGGUGGCAAGCGUUAUCCGGAAUUAUUGGGCGUAAAGCGCGCGUAGGCGGUUUUUUAAGUCUGAUGUGAAAGCCCACGGCUCAACCGUGGGGGGUCAUUGGAAACUGGAAAACUUGAGUGCAGAAGAGGAGAGUGGAAUUCCAUGUGUAGCGGUGAAAUGCGCAGAGAUAUGGAGGAACACCAGUGGCGAAGGCGACUUUCUGGGCUGUAACUGACGCUGAUGUGCGAAAGCGUGGGGAUCAAACAGG